UGGGGGAAAAAGAACCCAAACAAACAAACCCUAAGAUUGCUCUCCAGUAGAGGGCAGAUGGGUAUUUAGGAAAGUAAAAGUGCUGAAAUGCAGCCAAACACGCCCAGCUGCUCUUCCUGACCCUGAAUGUUUUCUCCAGGCGAGGGUAAGAGGGGAGGAAGCGGUGGAAGCAGCAGCUGUGGAUUGUGCCACCCGAGUGCCACUGUGCCCGCAGCCACCUGUCCCUGCCAGCCCCUGGCAGCAAGGUGAGGAGCAGCUUCGGUUCCAGAGGGAAAACAUUCCAGCUCCUGUGAGCCUGCGGGGUCUGCGUGUCCUUGGGGCUUCUGUCAGCGCCACCUCAACCACACCUGAAUAUUUUGGGUUUUUCCUGGAAGCCCAACACCCUCAGGAGGAGGAAUACCAAGUUGUUGUCUCUUUGGUAGAGACUGUUCCUUUAUCCUGUGGGGAACGUCCCAGCCUGGGAGUAAAUCAUCAACUCCAACCUGUUACUCCAUCAUUUCUCUACAACUUCAUCCUGGGCCGUUCAUAUCAGCCUCAGCCCGCCUUGUCCGCCCAUUAAACCGCCCGGGGCACUGUAAUCUCGUUAUUUGAUGAGACAGAUACAAAUGGUGUUCAGCAAAGCAGGGCACAGCUCCAGAGCUCUGUUUUGUUUCCUCAAGGGAUGUCAUUCCCCAGCCUUGCCUACUACCGCCAAUUCUUCCAGCGUGUCCCAGGGAUACUCGAUUAUUUGGAUUAACUUCGGGGCAGGAAAAGAGGAUUAGGAAGCAGAGCAGCUCUUUAAUGCAUGCACGGAGACGGGUUACAUCAGUUCUGUCUGUUUACAGACUUGCCCUGCUGAAAAACAAUUUUCUAAAGCUGUUAAUUAUUCUGAAUUAUUUGCCAAAUUACUACAAAUCAUUCCUGGCUUGGGACCCACCAGGAAGACAAAGGGAGAACUGUUUAGGUGGCGCUACCUUCAGUCACUCACAUGAGCUUUCUCCUCCCUGCUUGGCCAAACUCUGCCUUCCCAAAGCAAAAACUCAUGUUUACAGAUUUAAAAUAUUUAUUCUCUGGAAAUGUGCAGCUCUUGCAUGUGCUUAAAGCAGCUUGGGGGCUUAGAGAUGGGAAUUAUCCAGGAGAGUUUUCUAUUCCUCUCCUUCACCCUGUCUGGGCUGGAAGUUCCAUUACUGAGGCAUCAAAAUGAUACUUUUUUUCCCUCAAGUGGUUCUUUUUAAGACGAAAAUUUUUGACUUUGGAUUCUGUUAGCCCCAUUGGGGUGAAACACUUGGAUAUUUCAGACUUGGAAUUGCCUCCUCCUGCGAGGCAAGGAGUGGAACAAAGAGUGGAUGACUCCAAGGAACACGAGGUGGAUACUCCUGGCUGGAGCUCAGGGGUUUUACUGGGACAAUUCAGGAUUCCCAGUAGAAGCUGGGCAUAAUCCAGGUCUCAGCAACACAGCAGAAAUAGCUCCUCAUCCCUCUUUUAGGAGGAAAAACGUUUUUCUCAUUUCCCUCCCAACUUUUCAUCACUGGUAACUCUUUUCUUUUCCUUGCACCUUGGUUCCACCUCUUUCCAACCUUUGAAAUUCAUUCGGGUAGGAUCUCACCUACCUUCACCCACCAGCUUGGAGCCACCUAAUGACACUGUCACCUCCUAAUCCUGGCACUUAGAAAGGAAAAUUCCUUUUUCUCCCUCUCCUUUUGGUCAAACCGGGGCUGCUCCUGCAGUGCCCCCUCCAGCCUCCAUUUCCUGCCAUGCCAAAAACUUUUUUAAAACUUUGCCCUGCAUAGAUCCGAAGCUUUUCCACAAAAUUCCACCCAGCCAGGUGAUCCCACGGCUUAUUCUGGGAUGUCAAUACCUGCAUUGUUGGGAAUGGGAAGAAAUCCCAGUGUGCCAAAGCAGCUGGAUUAGUGCUGAGCUGCCUGGGAAUUCCAGCCUGAACACAGACCUUGUGCAAGGACCUGCAAAUCCCAGGGACCAGAUCUGCAAUGGCAACAAAAAUAUUCUCUUGGCGUGUUGCUUUAAAUAUUUGCUGAGGUGUAGAAGGGAUUUUUUUCCCCUUUUAUCCAUCAUUUUCUUCUCCCAGAAUUGUUAAUUUUUGGAUUGAGGCAACAUUGAAUGUUUUUCACAUGAAGCAUCUCACACUCUCAGGGAAAACCAUCCUUCACCUGUUUGUUUCAAGAAGAAAACACCCAAAAUAAAAAAUUUCCCUGGUCUUACAAUAUUUAGGCAAAUAUUCUAAUUCCCACACUGGCCAGUGCUGUAAAUUGGUGGCACAUGGAAAUCCAGAUAUGGCAGUCUGGGAGUCUGCUUUUCUUUGGAGAUACAAAUGUCACUUUUUAAAUUAAAAUUUCUAUUUUUAAAGAACU
Molecule: long non-coding RNA, 2348 nt
Filed under: Taeniopygia guttata (zebra finch)
Lineage: Eukaryota; Metazoa; Chordata; Aves; Passeriformes; Estrildidae
Description: lncRNA (ENSTGUG00000022417.1)
Source: RNAcentral